ACUGAACAGCACCCACAUGGAGAUCCCGGGAUAUAGCAAAAUGGCGUACACACCGACACCCCUAGUGAUUCGAACACAAAACUGCAGGGGCCUCAACACCCCGGAUAAAAGAUCACACCUCCUUCGCAACCUCAAGCAGCAACAUGUAUCAGUCGCCCUCCUACAGGAAACACACCUCAGACCAGAAACUAACAAGUUGCUACAGGACAAAAGCUACCAAAUAAA
This is a non-coding RNA of Pelobates cultripes (western spadefoot toad), 225 nucleotides long. NCBI's taxonomy places the organism in Eukaryota, Metazoa, Chordata, Amphibia, Anura, Pelobatidae. The record is from the annotation of a GenBank genome assembly.